UACGUAGGGUGCGAGCGUUGUCCGGAAUUAUUGGGCGUAAAGGGCUCGUAGGCGGUUUGUCGCGUCGGGAGUGAAAUCCACUGGCUUAACUGGUGGCUUGCUUUCGAUACGGGCAGACUGGAGGUAUGCAGGGGAGAACGGAAUUCCUGGUGUAGCGGUGAAAUGCGCAGAUAUCAGGAGGAACACCGGUAGCGAAGGCGGGUCUCUGGGCCGAUACUGACGCUGAGGAGCGAAAGCGUGGGGAGCGAACAGG
Molecule: ribosomal RNA, 253 nt
Filed under: uncultured bacterium
Lineage: Bacteria
Description: partial 16S ribosomal RNA
Rfam family: Bacterial small subunit ribosomal RNA
Source: RNAcentral